RNAcentral lists this long non-coding RNA (879 nucleotides) under Elaeis guineensis (African oil palm). RNAcentral describes it as "long non-coding RNA (EGUI_LNC001606)". The record is from RNAcentral. Lineage: Eukaryota; Viridiplantae; Streptophyta; Magnoliopsida; Arecales; Arecaceae.
CCUACUGAGAAACUACUGUUUGAUACGUGGCAAAAAAUAGAAAGCCUCCAUUGACCGCCUAGACGUCGUGGCGCUCGCUCGCGGAAGCUUGGGGCGGUGGAGCAGGAGAAAAAGGAGGUGAGGAGACGAAUGAGGAUGUGUGGGGAUGAGGAGUGGAGGCCACGGAUGAGGGAGAAGGUGGCGAAGGCCCCGGAGAGGUGGCCUUGGGUGGAUUGCGAAUUGACAGAGUCUAUUAAGGGAGUUGCGAUACGAAGCUCUCAAAAACUCAACGGAUCAACUCGAACUGCUUCAACUCGCACAAUACCAUAUGCUUGAGACAAAACCACAUACCUCUGAAAAGAGAGAGAAAUGAAAAGAAGAAGUCAAAAGAUAGGGAAAAAAAAUUAAGAUGAAGCUCUCAAAACCUCAAGGGACCAACUCACACCAUCACAACUUCCCAUAUGCUUGAAACAAAACCCCAACUGGAACUUAAGAAACCCCUCCGAUCUUGCUCAAAUGCUCUCCUUCCUACAGAUCUCCAAAAAAGAGAAAGAAACAAAAAGAAAAAUAAGCCAAAAAAAAAAUCAAUUUAUGUGAGGGGCUUGGAGUUUUCAAAACCUUUUGAUUUUUUUCCAUUCUCAGGUGUCUCAAUCGGGUGGGAGGCUUGGAGCAGCUGAAUAGGGAGGGUUAGACGAUGCAAAAGGCUUAUCCUUUAAUUUUUUCAAUUUUUCUUUUGUUUUUGUUGAUUUUUCUUAUGUUUCGUCGUGCUUCCUCUGUAUUUUUUCUAUUUCGGAAGAGCUGCGGGGGCACUGACGUGAGGCUUGGAGCAUCUGCACAGAGCAGGCAUGGAAGUGGCUUGCAUUUUGUGUUGGGUAUUUAUUAUCCAAUAUUUUCUCCGGA